UCACUUCAAAUUUUAUCCUUAAAUCGCCCCUAUUGCCUGGCUCCUUAGCGAUUGGCAUACCUUCACUGGUAAUGACGAGCUCAUAACCAGGGCUAACUAUAUCCUGUACUGGAAUAGACAGGCUACGACCAUCAAGUGUAUUGUGGGGUUUCUCAUCAAUGAUGAACACGAGGUCUGCUGGAAGCUGAUUCAGCUGCUCAUUCCCUUUAUCUGGGAAAGUAAUCUUUGUUCCCUUCUUCCACCCUGGCUUCACAUCAAUGAAUGCAAUAUCAGCAAUAUGUGCAAGGACAAUGUGGGAAGAGUGGAAAGAAUGCUUCAUCAAUCAGGAAGUUGGGAAGUGCUGGAAUUGAUGAGAUUUUUUCUUAAUAUAUGAGGUACGUCUCAGUGAAGAAUCUCAUGAUUACGAGAAAAUUAUGAGAUUGAUUUGCAAAAUCUUAAAAGAGUCAUUUAUAAUUUAGUGAUAGCAUUCUAUAUAUAUAUAUAUAAUGUAUCUUCCAUUAUAAAUAUGGAGUUCUAUGUAUUAUGUUAAACACAACACAAGUUAAUAAAAUAUAGUCUUUUUGAAGUUCGUGUCCAUGAACUUAUUCUCAAACCACGUAAAUCCUUCUCUUGUUGUUUUCUCCUACUUAGAUAUCAUUAUAAAUUUUAACAAAAUCACGGAAGAAAUUUUAGAUCUUGCAUUAAGAAUUAUACAGAUACCUAUCAUGUAAAACAAUAGUAAAAGCACU
Molecule: long non-coding RNA, 728 nt
Organism: Hevea brasiliensis (rubber tree)
Lineage: Eukaryota; Viridiplantae; Streptophyta; Magnoliopsida; Malpighiales; Euphorbiaceae
Exons: 3
Source: RefSeq, a predicted model, not a curated record